UGGACAUUGUUUAUUUCAGAAGGAAAAUGUUUGGAGUGGAAUUGUUUGGAAGACAAUCUUGGGACAAUUUUGCUCUUUGGGUCUUUGUGCCAACCAUGCCAGCUAUCGUAGGGUGCUCUGGGAACUUCUUAGAUCUGUUUACUGUAUGUACAGAAAUACGCAUUUUGUUUACAUAAAAUCCCUUGUCAUUUCACCACUAGGUUUGAAACCCAGACAGCACGAAGCAUCUUGCCGACGUCAAAAUCAGAUCAACAGACAGGGACAUCAGCCUUCUCUUGGGAAUAGGCCAGAUAUGCCAGAACAAGAAAUGGUAAGUCUAUCACUACAUAAGAUCCAUAACAAAAUACUCCUAGUUAAAUCUUAAAUGUGACCUGGUGGCAUUAUUGCGUGAAUGCUUAUGUUGAACACUUAAUAAAUAAGAUCCUCAAGUGUGUAGAGUUCGUUAUUUAUUUACAUUUUCCUCAGCAUAACUGUACAGCUGACACCACUGCCUUCUGUAUCAUAACAAAGCCUGUCACUUCCACGUUUCGUUCUUCUUAUGUGACCGAAGUCACUGGCUACUGCACCAGAGAGGGUCUCUGCACUCAUUGCUGGUCCUAUGAUGCCAUCUAUUGGCGAAAACGUGCAACAGCAUAAUUAAACUAAAAGACAACUUCUGACAGGACAACAAAAAGACAGGGAGUGAGAAUAAGGGAAUAACAAAAAGACAAAAAUGGGGGGUCCACUACACUUGCAUACCUGAUUGUGAUGCUGUCACUCAUUUUCUAGUCUAUAUCUUGGACUGAAAAAGGAUGCUUUGCCCCUGCGGUUGUGAAGAGGAUGCUGUGGAGGUGGCAGCAUGAACGUGUCACACAGACAUUGGCUAAACUACUCGGCUUCUACACUUGCCCUCAGAGUUCACAUAUAGUGAAGUGCACAGGUGUCCAGUCAGGUUCAGACUGAUGCUGGUAACAAGAGGAAAACAUGCUAAUUGGUCAGUCCAUGAGCCCACGUCUUCAGGUCAUGGGCCUGAGAAGAAUCUACCGUUACAGGGGUCAGAAGAGAUCCUCAAACUAUGCUGACAUUACUACCCCUGUACUUCAACCCCUCUGCUGCCACUGGGUCCUCAACGAGAAAAUAAACUGAUUCCCCCCCCCCAAUCCAUUCCUUUUUCCACCGUCACAUCACACCAUGCCUAUGCACAUUAACACCACCAAUGAGCCUAGAAAACUAGGACAACAGUGAGGAUGAAUUUAGAAACCGCUUCCACGUAUUGUACUAUUUCUGAAAAAGCAUUGGUAUUGGCCUUCUAUCUCCACGUAGCCAUAUCAAAAAA
Engraulis encrasicolus (European anchovy) is the source of this 1315-nucleotide long non-coding RNA. RefSeq lists it as uncharacterized. The transcript is spliced from 4 exons. The record is from RefSeq and is a predicted model, not a curated record. Lineage: Eukaryota; Metazoa; Chordata; Actinopteri; Clupeiformes; Engraulidae.